CAGUCGCCACGGUAAUACGUAGGUGGCAAGCGUUGUCCGGAAUUAUUGGGCGUAAGGGGCUCGCAGGCGGUUUCUUAAGUCUGAUGUGAAAGCCCCCGGCUCAACCGGGGAGGGUCAUUGGAAACUGGGAAACUUGAGUGCAGAAGAGGAGAGUGGAAUUCCACGUGUAGCGGUGAAAUGCGUAGAGAUGUGGAGGAACACCAGUAGCGAAGGCGACUCUCUGGUCUGUAACUGACGCUGAGGAGCGAAAGCGUGAGGAGCGAACAGGAUUAGAGACCCCCGUAGUCCCUGUCUCUUAUAC
Molecule: ribosomal RNA, 301 nt
Filed under: uncultured bacterium
Lineage: Bacteria
Description: partial 16S ribosomal RNA
Rfam family: Bacterial small subunit ribosomal RNA
Source: RNAcentral